Priapulus caudatus is the source of this 364-nucleotide long non-coding RNA. RefSeq lists it as uncharacterized. The record is from RefSeq and is a predicted model, not a curated record. NCBI's taxonomy places the organism in Eukaryota, Metazoa, Priapulida, Priapulimorpha, Priapulimorphida, Priapulidae. The transcript is spliced from 3 exons.
CUGCAGGAAUUAAUAGGAGAACUGCCGAAGGAGACGCCGCUAACACCAGGGGAAGCCAAACCCUCGUUCCGCCGCAGGAUCGGUACGGGCUUCAGUCUGUCUCACAGUGCCGUAGAAGCAAGCGACAAGAACGAGCUGAUGUCCAGACUACACCUGGACCACGAAGUCCAGCAUAAGAUCGUCACCGCGGCCGGUAAUCUGUGCGACGAUCCCAACGCCACCCGCACUAUUCGUCGGCAGCGCAAAGCCUGCUACCAGAGGGCGCACGCAAAGCUGCUGGAUCUGGAGAAGAACAUAGAGGAGACGAAGAAGAAGACGCUCACCGCCUCCUGCUCUCUACCGGCGAUGGGCUCGACUGGUGACC